UUACGGCCACAUCACGUUGAAACAACGGAUUCCAUACGAUCAUUGAAGUUAAGCAACGUCGAGCCUGGUUAGCACCUAAAUGGGUGACCACUUGGGAAUAUCAGUUGCUGUAAG
Molecule: non-coding RNA, 114 nt
Organism: Acanthosepion pharaonis
Lineage: Eukaryota; Metazoa; Mollusca; Cephalopoda; Sepiida; Sepiidae
Source: the annotation of a GenBank genome assembly